CACAUUUGUGUACAGCUGUUCUGGUUCGCCGGGGUGCGAUGUGCGCUGUGUUGUAUAUGUAGUGGUUAAAUAAGCGUGUUUUGGCUGUAUUUUCGCUAUUUUUAGCCUGACUGUCUCUCAACAUUGUAAAUUUAGUGGGCAAAUUUAAAACAUUACCUUCCUCUAUCAGAAGUCAUGCACAUCUAUCUGGUAGUAUCAGUGCUAGUGGUGCACAUGGUGCAGGCUGAGUAUCGCCAGCCUCCAGGUGUCAACCCGAACCACUACCAGCAGCCUGGUCAGGUACCUCAGCAGCAGCAGCAGCAAUUCCAACAGCCUCCACCCCAGCAGCAGCAAUUCCAGCAGCCACCUCCUCAACAACAGCAACAGUUCCAGCAGCCACCUCCUCAACAACAGCAGCAAUUCCAGCAGCCGCCUCCCCAGCAGCCACAGCAGGGUGUUCCGCAGCAGCAGUUCCAGCGCACGGACGGUCACGGCCACGGCGGUCACGGUCAGCAGCAGGCCAUUCUCAGGGACAAACAGCAAAUCACCGCCGAAAAAGAUCACAUCAAGGAGCACCUGGGGGCGCCGAUCGACACGUCCAAAAUGUCCGAGGAAGAGCUGCAGUUCCACUACUUCAAGAUGCACGACGCCGACGGCAACAACAAGCUGGACGGCCUCGAGCUGGUGGCCUCGCUGCAGCACUGGCACGACCAGUCCAACCACGAGCCCGGCCACCCGGUGCCCGAGAAGAAGAUCUUCACCGACCAGGAGCUGUUCGAGCUGAUCGAUCCCAUCAUCGACCAGGACGACCGCAACCGGGACGGCUACAUCGACUACUCCGAGUUCAUGUUGGCGCAGCAGAACCAGCCGCCGCCGCCGCCGCAGCAGCAGCAGCAGCAGCAGCAGCAGCACGGCAUGCCCGCCUAGGUGUGAGUGCGGUGCACAGACUCGGUGACUGCCAGCUCAGGCCAGCCGGGGGAUGGACGGGGGUGCUCGGACGCACAGACAGAGGUCUCUGAGGAAGGAGAGGGCGGUGCCCAGGCGGGAUAGGUGUCAGGUGAUCGGGAGUAGGGUGUAGGUAUGUGGAGUGACCGGAGCCGGCGGCUGCGGAGCGCCGGCCGGGGACGGGCUGCUGUCCCCGCCCGGUCAGUAUGUGGUCCCGAACAGACCGCUGUCCCGGCCGCUCGGUGUCUGGUGAUGUGUCUGAUCUGACGAAGCUGAUGACAGCCGCGCUGAUGACCGUCUGACGGCUGAGCGUCGUCUGUGGGUGGCACCAAUCAGCGCCAGUCUAGGAUACAUGUUCAGGAUGUGACGCUGAUCCUCAUAUGACGCCGACUGCGCGAGAUGCAUCUAUUUUUAUAACGCAUGAGCGGGAUUGCGUGGAUAUUAUCAGAAAUUAUAUUUGGAAUUAUUUGCGGAAGAUAGCAGGGUCGCAUGUUUCAAAUUAAAUGAGGUAUGGUGCUCGUAUUACCAUAUAUGGUUUUGCACAACGAUGCGUAUAUUGGAAUGCUUUGGACGUAUUUCUGCGCUUCCAUAAACAGUCUUUGGCUAUUCCUCAUGAUGUAAUCAGAUGAGCUUAACGUUGCACAGAGACCACUUUUCCCUUGUGUCGAAACACGAAUAAUUGGCGAUGACGUGUUCAAAAGUGCAGAGCGCAUGGCAACUUAAUCAAAUGACAUUUUCGCUAUUCAUUGUUCGUUUGAUGCCUGAGCUGCUUUAUUUGCAUUUUUGUCUUCAUUCAUUUGCUAUUUGCGCUGUUUUUCCUUCUGUUUUUUUUUUUUUUUUGCAUUUUGUUCGAUGUUUCAAAUGCGGCUGUCCUGAGAUUAUGGUAACGUUCUGUUUGCACCUUUCGCUACAAUUUUGUUGAGAUUACUUGAGUUUUUUUUAUUCGUUUCUUUUUGGCAUAGGUGUUAUUUUGAAGGUGAAUGUGAAUCCCGUAACAAAAAAUAUUUGCGUUUACGCCGUAGCAUUGCGCGUGAUUUCGACUACAUGGCUCGAAACAGUCGUAGUUCGGCUAUUUACUUUUUUAUUAACAUGAAGGUUAAAUUUCGCCGCUCAUGUAUGCGUUUGCUCGAGUAUUGGGCCGGUCCGUGUUUUUGUAAUCACGGUUCAUGCUCCCCUUCGUCUAUAUUUGCCCGUUGGCCCAUUGCUGGUUACAACUAUGUGCAAUGCCAGGGAUAGGACCUUAUGCUCGUGCCCCAGUUGAGAUCGGGCACCUGCCGGCAGGCGACCAUUCCAAUUGCGAGGUUCGUGUGCACGCCCUUUAGUGUUGUGGCGGUGCGACGUCUGGUGUCUGUUAUGUGAAUGUGAGAGGCGCUCCUUUGUCCGUGAGCAGCCACUCCAUCCGUUCUCGUAAUUGGCGACCGCGGUGCGUGUGGGAAGAUCGUUUAGAUGGUUGUUCGUCACAAAUAUAUGGUCGGUUUUUGUUA
This 2408-nucleotide unclassified non-coding RNA is filed under the name Amphibalanus amphitrite. Its description in RNAcentral is "multiple coagulation factor deficiency protein 2 homolog, transcript variant X3". The record is from RNAcentral. Lineage: Eukaryota; Metazoa; Arthropoda; Thecostraca; Balanomorpha; Balanidae.